This is a non-coding RNA of Epinephelus fuscoguttatus (brown-marbled grouper), 2031 nucleotides long. Lineage: Eukaryota; Metazoa; Chordata; Actinopteri; Perciformes; Serranidae. The record is from the annotation of a RefSeq genome assembly.
UUGGUUGAGCAGCUGUACAAAAACCUGCAGUGCUCAUUCUUACUGUGCUGAAAGACAACAAGGAAGAAUUUUAUUCAUAUUUUUAUCUUGCGCUGUUGUAUUUUUUAAUAAAAUCUUAAACAACGUUAUCUAGCAACAAUUAAACACAUAAAUUAAACAAAAUGUGUUACUGUAAUCACUACUACCUCACAUAACAGCCAGAGACAGUGAAACAAUCUGCUGAAAUCAAUGUACAGUGUGAAUUAAAGAAAUGCUACAUGUACAUAUUUAGGCCACAUAAAUGUAUUUAUUAUAUGACAUAUGAAGCAGGACACAACAUUGUAGUGAAAGAUAAUGCUGCAGUUCUGGAUAUAAAAACACUAGAUGGCAGUCAGUGUCAAGUUUCUCUCUCCUCUGUCACGAUGAGGAGAAACUCAGAUCUGCUCUUCUCAUUAAUAUCAACUGUCUGACAUUCAAACCCUGAACUACAGCUUCAUACUCACAUCUACUGUGAGCUUACUUUCUUUUUGCUCACCAUCUCAUAUAGAUUACAAGAUAAACAGCCAGGAGACUAAAGGACCUGCUGUUUGUUCUUGUGCCUGAGAGACAUUGUGAUGAAAGCUGAAUGAAUAAGUGAUACUGCAAUGAGACAAACUUUCACUUCUUGGGCUGAUAGAGGAAAAACUAUGUCUUACUUUGUCACAUUCUUCCUCUGUGAGCAGUAAUCCACCUCACUGAGGGGACCAAUCACUUCUGAAGCUAACUAAUGAGACUGACAGUGCAGCAUGUUGUGUAAAUUAAGAAAAGGAGAAACACUGAACAACAUCUUUAAUGCUGGUGUCUCAGUCUGUUUUGAACUCUCUCUCUCUCUCUCAGAGUCCAGCACUCCUUCACAAACUCCAACUGCUAAAAUGCAAAUCCACACACUGAUGUACAAUCCCCACCCAUUCUGUCUACACAGUAUAUAUCCACCAUAACAGCCUUUACAGGUUUAGACUCAAUCAAGUUCCCACCAUGACAGUUGUACAGAGUGUCGUCCUCUUGGCUCUGAUUUCAGCUGCUCAGGGCCAGUCGCUCACCUCCUCAGGGCCAGUGGUCAGCAGAGCUGGAGGAUCAGUCACUCUGUCCUGUAAAGUGGAAGGACUGCCUCUGGCUUGGCUGCACUGGAUCCGUCAGAAACCAGGGAAAGGACUGGAAUGGAUCGGACGCAUUGAUAGUGGAACUGGCACCAUAUUUGCCCAGAGUCUCCAAGGCCAGUUUUCCAUCACCAAAGACACUUCCAGAAAUCUUGUGUACUUAGAGGUGAAGAGUGUGAAAGAAGAAGACUCUGCAGUUUAUUAUUGUGCACGAGAGCCACAGUGACACAUGAGACGACAAAGCUGUACAAACACUGAACAACACUGAUGUCUGUAUGAGAAGCACUGAAGCAUGUCAGGGCUUUGAAAACACAAUUUCCACUGAAUGACGUCCAGUUAACAAAUGAUAAAGUAUGUCUCAGUGUUUUGGGACAGUUUACCAUGACUCAUGGCAACAUCUGCACUUAUAAGAAGACAACCUGACUGUGAUCACAACAUGAGUUUAACUACAGUAACGUCUUGCUUGGCUGAGCUCUGUGUCAUACAUUACUUUAUUUUUUACAUUGACCUGCACUAACUUCAUGAGUUUUAAGACAUUUUAUACAGUAAAUCCUAUCAUUAAAUUAACCAUGUAGAUGGUGGAAUAAAAGUCUAUAUAAGCUCUUUCACUGAAACAAUUAUGUUCCUUACAUAAUAAAUGACUUCUCUUCAUGUUCCCUCUGGAAGACACACUGUUUACACCAUCAGCUGAUUCAGUUUAAAUUUAAAGAUUCUUCAACAAAAUGCAAAUGAAGGUUGCUCAUGAGAGUGUGUGAAAAAUGCUACAAUCAGAUGUGUAAUGAAAUUAAGAUAUGACAUGUAGCUGAGCUGUCUUUAGGAUGUAGUCUUUAGUGGUGGCAGCAUUUAUACACUGUGUUUUAGUGGUUUAAAAUUGAUUUCUCAUCUUUAAAUAUUGUGCAUGAGAUUCAUUAACAAG